AAUGGGCAAUGUUUGUAUAUUAUGAGACUAUUGAUAUAUGAAACUGACAUUAUUAUUAUUAUUUUUAUUUAGAUUGGAGACACAUUGGACGCCUGGCAAAAAUUCCUUUCUGUUUAUGAUUUGGUAAUGGCUUGGUGCGAAAGCAAAACAAAAUAUUUAGAAGAUCCAAUUAAUUUAAGUUCAUUAGAAGCUGCAAAACAAAAAUCCCAUGAAUUUUCGGUAAUUUAUCAUUACAACUAAAUAUUGUAUUUUAAAUUCAACAUAACAUAGAUUUAAUCACGUAGGUAUUGUAACACUUGUUUACAGGUUGCUGUGAAAUCAUGCAAACAACAAACCAAAAACCUAGCUGAAAUGAGCAAAGAAUUGGAUAUUAUUGCCUUAUCAACUGAUGUUGGACAGCUGCCUGAAAAAUUAGAAGAAGCUAAUAAUGCCAAAAAUGAUGUUGAAGGAAAACUUUCAGAAAAGGUAAAUCAUAUUACUUAAAACAUUAUUAAAUAAUAAUUUGUUCAAAAUCUUUGAAUAAAAUAUAUUAUAAUAAAUUACAAUUGAUUAAAAUUAUGAAGAAUGCACUACUGCAUGAGACAUGUGAAGAAUGGGAGCAAUUUGAACGGAAAUUAAAAGAUGUUAAAUCAUUUAUUGACAAGUCUCAAAGUGCCAUAGAAUCUACUACUAAUAAAAAACGAACAUUACGUGAACAACAUGAUCUAAGAGAAAAAAUGUUGGCAGAUAUUACAAUACAAAGAAAAAAGAUUACAUUGUCUACUGAAAAAUUACAGGUUAGAUAAUGUGUAAAAUUGUCUGUUUAAAUAUGCCAUUACCUGGAUUUUUGAAUCUUAAAAAGUGGUGUACAGAAAUAAAGCAUUAAAUUAUUUUUUUGGUAAUAGUUGUAUUCUAUGAACUUGACACAAUAUAGUGAUGAAUUAUUUUAAAAUUUAAAUGUCAUAAUAAAUUUAAAACUUAAGUUGGAA
Molecule: long non-coding RNA, 968 nt
Filed under: Cinara cedri
Lineage: Eukaryota; Metazoa; Arthropoda; Insecta; Hemiptera; Aphididae
Source: RNAcentral